RNAcentral lists this ribosomal RNA (478 nucleotides) under uncultured bacterium. Its description in RNAcentral is "partial 16S ribosomal RNA". It matches the Rfam family "Bacterial small subunit ribosomal RNA", at positions 28 to 523 of the family's 1533-position model. The record is from RNAcentral.
GACGAACGCUGGCGGCGUGCUUAACACAUGCAAGUCGAACGGUAAGGCCCUUCGGGGUACACGAGUGGCGAACGGGUGAGUAACACGUGGGUGAUCUGCCCUGCACUUCGGGAUAAGCCUGGGAAACUGGGUCUAAUACCGGAUAGGACCACUGCCUGCAUGGGUGGUGGUGGAAAGCUUUUGCGGUGCGGGAUGGGCCCGCGGCCUAUCAGCUUGUUGGUGGGGUGAUGGCCUACCAAGGCGACGACGGGUAGCCGGCCUGAGAGGGUAACCGGCCACACUGGGACUGGGAUACGGCCCAGACUCCUACGGGAGGCAGCAGUGGGGAAUAUUGCACAAUGGGCGCAAGCCUGAUGCAGCGACGCCGCGUGAGGGAUGACGGCCUUCGGGUUGUAAACCUCUUUCAGCACCGACGAAGCGCAAGUGACGGUAGGUGCAGAAGAAGGACCGGCCAACUACGUGCCAGCCGCCGCGGUAA